AUUGAACGCUGGCGGCAUGCCUUACACAUGCAAGUCGAACGGCAGCGCGGACUUCGGUCUGGCGGCGGGUGGCGAACGGGUGAGUAAUACAUCGGAACGUACCCUGUUGUGGGGGAUAACUAGUCGAAAGAUUAGCUAAUACCGCAUACGACCUGAGGGUGAAAGUGGGGGACCGGAAACGGCCUCAUGCAGCAGGAGCGGCCGAUGUCUGAUUAGCUAGUUGGUGGGGUAAAGGCCCACCAAGGCGACGAUCAGUAGCUGGUCUGAGAGGACGAUCAGCCACACUGGGACUGAGACACGGCCCAGACUCCUACGGGAGGCAGCAGUGGGGAAUUUUGGACAAUGGGGGCAACCCUGAUCCAGCAAUGCCGCGUGUGUGAAGAAGGCCUUCGGGUUGUAAAGCACUUUUGUCCGGAAAGAAAUCGCGCUGGUUAAUACCAGGCGUGGAUGACGGUACCGGAAGAAUAAGCACCGGCUAACUACGUG
This 486-nucleotide ribosomal RNA is filed under the name uncultured bacterium. RNAcentral describes it as "partial 16S ribosomal RNA". It matches the Rfam family "Bacterial small subunit ribosomal RNA", at positions 30 to 507 of the family's 1533-position model. The record is from RNAcentral.